UGAAUACGAGAUGCUACGGCGUCGAAGCAGUCUAUGUCAUACUUCCAAGAAAAGCUUGCACUGUCAUAAACAAAUAAUGCCUGUACCAUAACCGACACAGGUGGGUAGGUAGAGUAUACUAAGGGGCGCGAGAUAACUCUCUCUAAGGAACUCGGCAAAAUGACUCCGUAACUUCGGGAGAAGGAGUGCCUUAUUUAUAAGGUUGCAAUAACAAGAUCCAAGCAACUGUUUACCAAAAACACAGGUCUCCGCUAAGUCGUAAGACGAUGUAUGGGGGCUGACGCCUGCCCAGUGCCAGAAGGUUAAAGAAGUUGGUUAGCAUCCGCGAAGCUGAUAACUGAAGCCCUGGUGAACGGCGGCCGUAACAAUAACGGUCCUAAGGUAGCGAAAUUCCUUGUCGGGUAAGUUCCGACCCGCACGAAAGGCGUAAUGAUUUGGAUACUGUCUCGGAGAGGGGCUCGGUGAAAUAGACUUGUCUGUGAAGAUGCGGAUUACCUGCACCAGGACAGAAAGACCCUAUGAAGCUUUACUGUAACCUGAAAUUGAAAUUGGACUUUACUUGCGCAGUAUAGGUGGGAGGCGUUGAGAAUAUUCUUGCGGGAUUAUUGGAGCCAUCAGUGAGAUACCACUCUUGUAAUGUUAGAUUUCUAACUUUGUAUCAUUAUCUGGUCAAAGAACAGUUUCAGGCGGGCAGUUUGACUGGGGCGGUCGCCUCCUAAACGGUAACGGAGGCGCACAAAGGUUUCCUCUGAACGGGUAGAAAUCGUAUCUAGAGUGUAAAGGCAUAAGGAAGCUUGACUGUGAGACCUACAAGUCGAGCAGGGACGAAAGUCGGUCUUAGUGAUCUGACGGUGCUGAGUGGAAAGGCCGUCACUCAACGGAUAAAAGUUACUCUAAGGAUAACAGGCUGAUCUCCCCCAAGAGUUCACAUCGACGGGGAGGUUUGGCACCUCGAUGUCGGCUCAUCGCAUCCUGGGGCGGUAGUACGUCCCAAGGGUUGGGCUGUUCGCCCAUGAAAGCGGUACGCGAGCUGGGUUCAGAACGUCGUGAGACAGUUCGGUCCAUAUCCGGUGUAGGCGUUAGAAUAUUGAGAGGAGCCUUCUUUAGUACGAGAGGACCGAGAAGGACAUACCUCUGGUGUACCAGUUAUCGUGCCAACGGUAAACGCUGGGUAGCUAUGUGUGGAGUGGAUAACCGCUGAAAGCAUCUAAGUGGGAAGCCCACCUCAAGAUAAG
This 1235-nucleotide ribosomal RNA is filed under the name metagenome. Its description in RNAcentral is "bacterial LSU rRNA". It matches the Rfam family "Bacterial large subunit ribosomal RNA", at positions 1564 to 2808 of the family's 2925-position model. The record is from RNAcentral.